UCCAUGUGUAGCGGUGAAAUGCGUAGAUAUAUGGAGGAACACCAGUGGCGAAAGCGGCUCUCUGGUCUGUCACUGACGCUGAGGCUNGAAAGCGUGGGUAGCGAACAGGAUUAGAUACCCUGGUAGUCCACGCCGUAAACGAUGAGUGCUAGGUGUUAGGCCCUUUCCGGGGCUUAGUGCCGGAGCUAACGCAAUAAGCACUCCGCCUGGGGAGUACGACCGCAAGGUUGAAACUCAAAGGAAUUGACGGGGGCCCGCACAAGCGGUGGAGCAUGUGGUUUAAUUCGAAGCAACGCGAAGAACCUUACCAGGUCUUGACAUCCCGAUGCUAUUCUUAGAGAUAGGAAGUUACUUCGGUACAUCGGAGACAGGUGGUGCAUGGUUGUCGUCAGCUCGUGUCGUGAGAUGUUGGGUUAAGUCCCGCAACGAGCGCAACCCUUAUUGUUAGUUGCCAUCAUUAAGUUGGGCACUCUAGCGAGACUGCCGGUAAUAAACCGGAGGAAGGUGGGGAUGACGUCAAAUCAUCAUGCCCCUUAUGACCUGGGCUACAUACGUGCUACAAUGGUCGGUACAACGAGUUGCGAGCCGGUGACGGCAAGCUAAUCUCUGAAAGCCGAUCUCAGUUCGGAUUGGAGGCUGCAACUCGCCUCCAUGAAGUCGGAAUCGCUAGUAAUCGCGGAUCAGCACGCCGCGGUGAAUACGUUCCCGGGCCUUGUACACACCGCCCGUCACACCACGAGAGUUUGUAACACCCGAAGUCGGUGAGGUANCCUUUUAGGGGCCA
Molecule: ribosomal RNA, 784 nt
Filed under: uncultured bacterium
Lineage: Bacteria
Description: bacterial SSU rRNA
Rfam family: Bacterial small subunit ribosomal RNA
Source: RNAcentral